RNAcentral lists this transfer RNA (73 nucleotides) under Nitzschia inconspicua. It matches the Rfam family "tRNA". From Rfam's summary of the family: Transfer RNA (tRNA) molecules are approximately 80 nucleotides in length. Their secondary structure includes four short double-helical elements and three loops (D, anti-codon, and T loops). Lineage: Eukaryota; Bacillariophyta; Bacillariophyceae; Bacillariales; Bacillariaceae. The record is from Rfam by way of RNAcentral.
GGCUCUGUAGCUCAGUGGUAAGAGCAGGGGAUUCAUAAGCCCAAGGUCGUAGGUUCAACUCCCACCAGAGCCA